RNAcentral lists this ribosomal RNA (116 nucleotides) under uncultured bacterium. RNAcentral describes it as "partial 16S ribosomal RNA". It matches the Rfam family "Bacterial small subunit ribosomal RNA", at positions 1358 to 1482 of the family's 1533-position model. The record is from RNAcentral.
UACGGUGAAUACGUUCCCGGACCUUGCACACACCGCCCGUCAAGCUAUGGAAGCCGGGUGUACCUAAAGUCGGUAACCGUAAGGAGCCGCCUAGGGUAAAACUGGUGACUGGGGCU